RNAcentral lists this ribosomal RNA (387 nucleotides) under uncultured bacterium. Its description in RNAcentral is "partial 16S ribosomal RNA". It matches the Rfam family "Bacterial small subunit ribosomal RNA", at positions 523 to 918 of the family's 1533-position model. The record is from RNAcentral.
AUACGUAGGUGGCAAGCGUUAUCCGGAUUUACUGGGCGUAAAGGGCGUGUAGGCGGUCUUGCAAGUCAGAAGUGAAAUUCCUGAGCUCAACUCGGGCGCUGCUUCUGAAACUGCAGGACUUGAGUGCUGGAGGGGAUAGCGGAAUUCCUAGUGGAGCGGUAAAAUGCGCAGAUAUUAGGAAGAACACCGGUGGCGAAGGCGGCUAUCUGGACAGUAACUGACGCUGAGGCGCGAAAGCGUGGGGAGCAAACAGGAUUAGAUACCCUAGUAGUCCACGCCGUAAACGAUGAGUACUAAGUGUCGGGUAACCGGUGCUGAAGUUAACACACUAAGUACUCCGCCUGAGUAGUACGGUCGCAAGGCUGAAACUCAAAUGAAUUGACGGGG